GACGAACGCUGGCGGCGUGCUUAACACAUGCAAGUCGAACGGAAAGGCCCUGCUUUUGUGGGGUGCUCGAGUGGCGAACGGGUGAGUAACACGUGAGUAACCUGCCCUUGACUUUGGGAUAUCUUCAGGAAACUGGUGCUAAUACCGGAUAGGCGCUCCUGCUGCAUGGUGGGGGUUGGACAGUUUCGGCGGUUGGGGAUGGACUCGCGGCUUAUCAGCUUGUUGGUGGGGUGGUGGCUUACCAAGGCUUUGACGGGUAGCCGGCCUGAGAGGGUGACCGGCCACAUUGGGACGGAGAGACGGCCCAGAGUGCUACGGGAGGCAGGAGUGGGGAAUAUUGCACAAAGGGCGGAAGCCUGAUGCAGAAACGCCGCGUGCGGGAUGACGGCCUUCGGGUUGUAAACCGCUUUCGCCUGUGACGAAGCGUGAGGGACGGUAAUGGGAAAAGAAGCACCGGCUAACUACGU
This 467-nucleotide ribosomal RNA is filed under the name uncultured bacterium. RNAcentral's name for it is "partial 16S ribosomal RNA". It matches the Rfam family "Bacterial small subunit ribosomal RNA", at positions 28 to 506 of the family's 1533-position model. The record is from RNAcentral.